This 492-nucleotide ribosomal RNA is filed under the name uncultured bacterium. Its description in RNAcentral is "partial 16S ribosomal RNA". It matches the Rfam family "Bacterial small subunit ribosomal RNA", at positions 28 to 507 of the family's 1533-position model. The record is from RNAcentral.
GAUGAACGCUAGCUACAGGCUUAACACAUGCAAGUCGAGGGGAAACGGCAUUAAGUGCUUGCACUUUUUGGACGUCGACCGGCGCACGGGUGAGUAACGCUUAUCCAACCUUCCCAUUACUAAGGGAUAACCUGCCUAAAUGCAGACUAAUACCUUAUGGUCUUCACUGACGGCAUCAGAUGUGAAGUAAAGAUUUAUCGGUUAUGGAUGGGGAUGCGUCUGAUUAGCUUGUUGGCGGGGUAACGGCCCACCAAGGCAACGAUCAGUAGGGGUUCUGAGAGGAAGGUCCCCGACAUGGGAACUGAGACACGGUCCAAACUACUAAGAGAGGCAGCAGUGAGGAAUAUUAGGCAAUGGGCGAGAGCCUGAACCAGCCAAGUAGCGUGCAGGAUGACGGCGCUAUGGGUUGUAAACUGCUUUUGUAUGGGGAUAAAGUCAAUCACGUGUGAUUGUUUGCAGGUACCAUACGAAUAAGGACCGGCUAAUUCCGUG